Molecule: long non-coding RNA, 2539 nt
Organism: Cercocebus atys (sooty mangabey)
Lineage: Eukaryota; Metazoa; Chordata; Mammalia; Primates; Cercopithecidae
Exons: 2
Source: RefSeq, a predicted model, not a curated record
AACUCCUGACUUUGUGAUCCACCCGCCUCAGCCUCCCAAAGUGGGAUUACAGGUGUGAGCCACCGCCCCCCGGGGAAGAGGGUCAUAAAGGAUUUAGGCCUCCCCUUCUGCAGAGAUUAAGUUCUUCAGACCAGGGAAGAAAGAGGUGACUGGAUUAUUUUGCAGAGAAAGCUGGAGCCCAAGGGGAGGGAGACAGGAAUUGGAAAAGGGUAGGGAUGGGGGAGGAGAUGCCAGAUCAGCCCUGAGAACCUCUUUACCCCUCUCAAAGACUUAGGACACUAAUGGGAAAGACUGGGCUAACUUCUGCCCUUCCCCACUGUCUGCCCAGGGACACCUGGGAAAGGACAAAUAAGAGCUGAAUCCUUCACUGAAGGCCCCGUCAACGUAUCUAUGGGUUGGGCGUUAGGAACGGCCUGGCCUCACAAAUCACAUAACUGGGGUGUAGAACAAAAUGGUUCCAGAGAUGCUACCAGGCUGGUCCAGGACCGAUGCAGGCCAGAACCCCGCUGGGAGGACUCCCCAGAACAGGCACUGAGCUGAGGAAAGGCAGAACACAUGGUCUGCUACUGACCCCACCAGAUCUUCUGGGACUCUGGGCAGCUCCGGAGUACUGCUAAGUCCCCAAACCGGGUCUACAGGUCUUAGCGCACACUCAUGAGGCCACUUGCCUCAGAGCCUUCGGGGGGGGUCUUAGGAGGCAGGCAAGAAGGUCUCCUUCUAGGCCAUUCUAGGAGGGGACUGGAGAGCAGAGGUUAGACUGGAGGGUAGGGGUAACCUGAUCUUACAGUCCAGAAGCCACGAGACUAGUCUCCUGGCCUUGCGCCCCGCCCCACUGCAGGGUGGAAAGCCUGUCCCACUCCAGUCACCCAGCUCAAUAACGCCCUCCACCGUGGGUCUCCUGGGCCCCAGAAAUCGUUCCCUCUUUCCCUCGCCUGGGCACUGCCACGCGGUCUGGGGAACCCGUAGACUAUCGACGGGUCUGGCCCGGGGUUUGCCCUGCCCGUUAGCCCAGGAGGAUAGACAGACACGGGGAACUGGUGUUCCCCUAGUGAUUUCAAGGCUCAUUAACUGUCUCCGACCCGUCCCGAAAGCAAGAAACUCCACCGCUUCUCUUCAAAGCUCCGCAACGAAGGACUAGGUCCAAGGACCGCAGGCGGAGGCGGGAAUUGUCCAGAUCCCAGGUUACGAAAUGGCACCGAGUCGGUGACCAAAGGAAGCAGGAACCCGGGUGUUCAAGGCAGUCCUCCAGGGCGGCGCGGGGGCUAGGCUGAGGCCACUCCCUCCCACUUCCUCGACGCUAUUUCCUGGGAGGAGUUGGAGCUCGCAGCCCGGAGCCAAGGGACUCCCAGACCCGUGCUCCAAAAUACUAGGCUUGGGGGAGGCUGGUUCCUGAGCGGCGCCAGGACCGUUCUGCCAUGCAUAGUGGACCCAGCACUACAGCUAGCCUGGCACGACCUCUAGGGCGGUUCGCAACGGUACUCGUACGUCGGCUCGUUGGUCUAGGGGUAUGAUUCUCGCUUCGGGUGCGAGAGGUCCCGGGUUCAAAUCCCGGACGAGCCCUCCUUUACGUUUUGCUCAAACAAGAGUGUCUUCAAGGAAUGUGUUACCUGACCAGCGCUGCAGGAGGCUUGACUGGAAAUCAUCAAUGUACAGUAAACUCUUUUGUGGCACCAGGGUAACAGAAAGAAUCUCAGUCCCCAGACCCGCCUGGCAUGUCAGGAAGAGAGGAGGCACGCCCAGACUUGGGCAGGACGCUCCCUUUCUGCCUCUUGACUUCCUGCAUGGUGUCUCAAUCCGCCACUACAGCCUGGUUUCGGUUUGAUUGACACCCAUCAAUCUAUAGUUGUGGAUGACAGUGUUCGGGAGAGCCCAGGAACUGUCAGAACUUGGUUCUCUGCAGCCCUGGAGGUACUCUGUCUCGGUCACUCCAUCUGACGAUCGGUGCCUGAAAUACACCUACAGUUUCUGGUCCGCGUUUCUCGGUGGUCGGAAGAACAGAACCCUUAGGAACUCUGCUGUCAGCAAGCCGAGUGUAAAGUCCCAGAUCAAGGAUUCGGAGAGUAGCGUCGACGGGUCACUCCUCGUUAGUAUAGUGAUUCCCACGUACGUGCGCCCACAUCUCGUCAGCUGGUGCCUCGCAGAAAUGCGCUGACAAAUCUUAAAGAUGCGGCUUCAUGACAAAAGUCCUCCCCUUAUUGCUGUUCAAGAGACCCCUCAAGUCACGCUGUUGGGCAGGCCUCGUGGCGCAACGGUAGCGCGUCUGACUCCAGAUCAGAAGGUUGCGUGUUCAAAUCACGUCGGGGUCAAACAAAACAUUGUUUUCCCUAAUCAAAUAGAUUUACGGUGUCAUUUUUAGGGACAGGGCAAAAAAAUCUCCUCAGUAGAAGGAUAGGAGGGGAAUGAGACAAAUGAGAACGUUAUUCAGAAGUUGGGUACAAUUUCAGUUGGGUACAGACUUUCAGCACUAUGUGAUAUAUCCCUGAGGCAAAACUGCACAUGUACCCCUAAAGUCUAUAAAAGUAAAAAUAAAUUUAAAAAU